RNAcentral lists this ribosomal RNA (1442 nucleotides) under uncultured bacterium. RNAcentral describes it as "bacterial SSU rRNA". It matches the Rfam family "Bacterial small subunit ribosomal RNA". The record is from RNAcentral.
GAUUAANCGCUGGCGGCAUGCCUAAUACAUGCAAAUCGAACGAUCUUCUUUGAAGAGAGUGGUGAACGGGUGAGUAAUAUAUGUCUAACCUACCCCAACGUGGGGGAUAACUACCUGAAAAGGUAGCUAAUACCGCAUAGGAUAUAGGAUGGUAUCUUCUUAUAUUUAAAGGUGCGUUUGCACCGCGAUGGGAUGGGGACAUACGACAUUAGCUAGUUGGUGAGGUAAGAGCUCACCAAGGCGACGAUGUCUAGCCGGGUUGAGAGACCGACCGGCCACAAGGGGACUGAGACACGGCCCCUACUCCUACGGGAGGCUGCAGUAGGGAAUUUUCCACAAUGGGCGAAAGCCUGAUGGAGCAAUGCCGCGUGAGGGAUGACACAUUUCGGUGCGUAAACCUCUGUUGUUAGGGAAGAACAACUAAGAUAGGAAAUGAUCUUAGCUUGACGGUACCUUUCCAGAAAGUCACGGCAAACUAUGUGCCAGCAGCCGCGGUAAUACAUAGGUGGCAAGCGUUAUCCGGAUUUAUUGGGCGUAAAGAGUGCACAGGUGGUCAAGUAAGUCAGAUGUUAAAUUCUGGGGCUCAACCCCAGCCUGCAUUUGAAACUGCUAGACUAGAAUAUCGGUGGGAGUAGUGGAAUUCCAUGUGUAGCGGUGGAAUGCAUAAAUAUAUGGAGGAACACCAGUGGCGAAGGCGGCUACUUGAACGAUUAUUGACACUUAAGCACGAAAGCGUGGGGAGCAAAUAGGAUUAGAUACCCUAGUAGUCCACGCCGUAAACGAUCUUGACUAGCUGUUGGUUUAACCAGUGGCGCAGCUAACGCAUUAAGUCAAGCGCCUGGGGAGUACGUGCGCAAGCAUAAAACUCAAAGGAAUUGACGGGGACCCGCACAAGCGGUGGAGCAUGUGGAUUAAUUCGAAGAUACGCGAAGAACCUUACCUGCGUUUGACAUACUUGGCGAAGCUAUAGAGAUAUAGUGGAGGUUAACCGAUGUACAGGUGGUGCAUGGUUGUCGUCAGCUCGUGUCGUGAGAUGUUCGGUUAAGUCCGGCAACGAGCGCAACCCCUGUCUUAUGUUGCUAACAUUUAGUUGAGGACUCAUGAGAGACUGCCUGGGUAACCAGGAGGAAGGUGGGGAUGACGUCAAAUCAUCAUGCCCCUUAUAUGCAGGGCUUCACACGUGCUACAAUGGGGAUUACAAAGAGUCGCGAUACCGCGAGGUGGAGCUAAUCUCAAAAAAAUCCUCUCAGUCCGGAUUGGAGUCUGCAACUCGACUCCAUGAAGUUGGAAUCGCUAGUAAUCGUGAAUCAGCAAUGUCACGGUGAAUACGUUCUCGGGUCUUGUACACACCGCCCGUCAAACUACGGAAGUCGGCAAUGCCUAAAACCAGUGUCCUAACCUUUUGGAGGGAGCUGUCUAGGGUAGGGUUGAUGACUGGAGUU